UUUUCUCUUCAAAAAGGAACAAUAUAAACUGUUGAAAAAAAUGAAAGAAAAAGAAAAGAACCUGAACAAGGCUGCUUCACUUCUGCAUUGAUGAUGCAUGGUUGACCAGCCAGGACAGCACCUCAACAGUGAAAAGUGACUUCUUGGAUAAAGAAGUCUCAAGCCACCUAUGAAUAGAUCUGCAAUGGAGCUGCAUGGACCUUGAUCCACACUUUCACAAAGUGCUACAGGAAUGAAGAAAUGAUAAGGGUUGGUUGUCCUUACGAGUGAGAUUAAGAGCCACAAAGAGUGAGGCUUUCCAAGUGGGGUUUGAGGAUGCCUGAAAGCAGAACUUUAGUCGCCUGAACCUUGCACAGCUAUCAUCAACAGACAAGAAGUAGCUUUUGAGAACUGUGUACUGCUGCAACAAUCUUAAUAGCUAUUUCCAGGCUAAGCCAUCAAGGAUGAACAUGCUUCAGAAUCUGUCGGUAUUCAACUUCACAGAAACUACAAAACUCCUCCAAGAAUGACUGUCAUUUUGUACUUUUGUCAAAGUAAUAGUAACAAUCAAUACAUACAUCUUCAACAUCAAAUCCUGACACUUUAGAAACCUGUGAAGCACCAGCAGUAUUGUAGAUGAUGUAGUAUGGACAUCCCAUGAAAUACACACAUUAAUUCUUACUUUGAAAAAGGAUCUUAAUUGAAUUAUUCUUACCCAUGUUUACACUGGCACUGUCUACGGAAAAUUCAG
Mauremys reevesii (Reeves's turtle) is the source of this 730-nucleotide long non-coding RNA. RefSeq lists it as uncharacterized. NCBI's taxonomy places the organism in Eukaryota, Metazoa, Chordata, Testudines, Geoemydidae. The record is from RefSeq and is a predicted model, not a curated record. The transcript has 3 exons.